RNAcentral lists this ribosomal RNA (254 nucleotides) under uncultured bacterium. RNAcentral's name for it is "partial 16S ribosomal RNA". It matches the Rfam family "Bacterial small subunit ribosomal RNA", at positions 524 to 776 of the family's 1533-position model. The record is from RNAcentral.
GACGUAGGGCGCGAGCGUUGUCCGGAUUUAUUGGGCGUAAAGAGCUCGUAGGCGGCUUGUCGCGUCAACUGUGAAAACCCGUGGCUCAACCAUGUGGUCUGCAGUCGAUACGGGCAGGCUAGAAUUCGGUAGGGGAGACUGGAAUUCCUGGUGUAGCGGUGAAAUGCGCAGAUAUCAGGAGGAGCACCGGUGGCGAAGGCGGGUCUCUGGGCCGAUAUUGACGCUGAGGAGCGAAAGCGUGGGGAGCAAACAGG